RNAcentral lists this ribosomal RNA (269 nucleotides) under uncultured prokaryote. RNAcentral describes it as "partial 16S ribosomal RNA". It matches the Rfam family "Bacterial small subunit ribosomal RNA", at positions 524 to 792 of the family's 1533-position model. The record is from RNAcentral.
UACGGAGGGAGCAAGCGUUGUCCGGAAUCACUGGGCGUAAAGGGCAUGUAGGCGGAUUGUUAAGUCAGGAGUGAAAUGUACCCGCUUAACGGGUAACCUGCUUUUGAUACUGGCGGUCUUGAGUUCUGGAGAGGUGAGCGGAAUUCCAGGUGUAGCGGUGAAAUGUGUAGAUAUCUGGAAGAACACCGGUGGCGAAGGCUGCUCUCUGGCCAGAGACUGACGCUAAAAUGCGAAAGCGUGGGGAGCGAACAGGAUUAGAUACCCCCGUA